Molecule: ribosomal RNA, 441 nt
Filed under: uncultured bacterium
Lineage: Bacteria
Description: partial 16S ribosomal RNA
Rfam family: Bacterial small subunit ribosomal RNA
Source: RNAcentral
CCUACGUGAGGCAGCAGUGGGGAAUAUUGGGCAAUGGGCGCAAGCCUGACCCAGCAACGCCGCGUGAAGGGAGAAGGCUUUCGGGUUGUAAACUUCUUUUAAGAGGGAAGAGGAGAAGACGGUACCUCCUGAAUAAGCCACGGCUAACUACGGGCCAGCAGCCGCGGUAAUACGUAGGUGGCAAGCGUUGUACGGAUUUACUGGGUGUAAAGGGCGUGUAGCCGGGCUGACACGUCAGAUGUGAAAUCCCGUGGCUCAACCACGGAACUGCAUUUGAAACUGUCGGUCUUGAGUAUCGGAGAGGCAGGCGGAAUUCCUAGUGUAGCGGUGAAAUGCGUAGAUAUUAGGAGGAACACCAGUGGCGAAGGCGGCCUGCUGGACGACAACUGACGGUGAGGCGCGAAAGCGUGGGGAGCAAACAGGAUAGAUACCCCUGUAGUC